Molecule: long non-coding RNA, 408 nt
Filed under: Olea europaea subsp. europaea
Lineage: Eukaryota; Viridiplantae; Streptophyta; Magnoliopsida; Lamiales; Oleaceae
Source: RNAcentral
UGGAGUUUAUCAUCAUUAGUCAUAAUUACCUACUUGAAAAUUUUCAUUAUUGCUCGCCAACCUGCCAUUGAUCCACUUGCUACCAAACGUCCCUGGCAGCGGAAAUCAAAUCCCUUAUCAUGAAAAAAAGAAAACACACAAAAGCAAUGCAUAUAUUCCAUAGUAGCCACACAAUGCAAAACCAUCAUGCCAUUUUCUGCCUUUUCAUUUUUUUCAUUUUCGAUCAUUCUACGCAUAUGGAUGAAGGAAUGAACUCAAUUUCUUUUAACUAAAAGCAUAAAUGAGAGCACGCACAAUCAGAUACUCGAUUCUUUAGCUACAAACACGUGAAGAAUAAUCCAGAUGUCUUCAACAAUAGCCAAAAAGACAUGAUCAGGACGGAAAGAGAAGAUUUCAGCUAAGUAAAAC